CCCUUAGAUGUUCUGGGCCGCACGCGCGCUACACUGAUGCGUUCAACAAGUUUCCUUGGCCGAGAGGCCUGGGCAAUCUUCUUAAUAUGUAUCGUGAUAGGGAUAGAUUAUUGCAAUUAUUAAUCUUGAACGAGGAAUUCCUAGUAAACGCAGAUCAUCAAUCUGCAUUGAUUACGUCCCUGCCCUUUGUACACACCGCCCGUCGCACCUACCGAUUGGAUGUUCCGGUGAAGCCUCGGGAUGAGGACUGGUGCCUUUAUUGGCAUGGGUUGUUCAGAACUUGUCUAAACCUUAUCAUCUAGAGGAAGGUGAAGUCGUAACA
Molecule: ribosomal RNA, 322 nt
Filed under: uncultured eukaryote
Lineage: Eukaryota
Description: partial 18S ribosomal RNA
Rfam family: Eukaryotic small subunit ribosomal RNA
Source: RNAcentral